This 501-nucleotide ribosomal RNA is filed under the name uncultured fungus. RNAcentral describes it as "eukaryotic LSU rRNA". The stretch from base 153 to 306 matches the Rfam family "5.8S ribosomal RNA". The record is from RNAcentral. Lineage: Eukaryota; Fungi.
GAACGCCCGGGCUUCGGCCUGGUUAUUCAUAACCCUUUGUUGUCCGACUCUGUUGCCUCCGGGGCGACCCUGCCUUCGGGCGGGGGCUCCGGGUGGACACUUCAAACUCUUGCGUAACUUUGCAGUCUGAGUAAACUUAAUUAAUAAAUUAAAACUUUUAACAACGGAUCUCUUGGUUCUGGCAUCGAUGAAGAACGCAGCGAAAUGCGAUAAGUAAUGUGAAUUGCAGAAUUCAGUGAAUCAUCGAAUCUUUGAACGCACAUUGCGCCCCCUGGUAUUCCGGGGGGCAUGCCUGUUCGAGCGUCAUUUCACCACUCAAGCCUCGCUUGGUAUUGGGCAACGCGGUCCGCCGCGUGCCUCAAAUCGUCCGGCUGGGUCUUCUGUCCCCUAAGCGUUGUGGAAACUAUUCGCUAAAGGGUGUUCGGGAGGCUACGCCGUAAAACAACCCCAUUUCUAAGGUUGACCUCGGAUCAGGUAGGGAUACCCGCUGAACUUAAGCAU